GCAAUUUUUUCCCACUAUGCAAUCUAAAUCUCUCCCCUUUCAGUUUAAAACCCUUUCCCUCUAUUCUGUUGCUAUUUUCUUGAGUAAAAUUUUUUUCUCUCUCUUUUAUAAGCCUCUGUGAGAACCAAAAGGCUGCAAUAAGGUCUCCCCAAAAUUUUUCUUCUCCAGCUGAACACCCCUGUCUGUCUCAGCCUGCUGGUGGCAGCUACUGCUCUUCCCAGUGCUCUGUUCCUCUGCUCGUGUCCCCUCCAGGUAUUGGUGUCCAGCUGUCCUGGUGAUGUUCCUGCAGGGAGGAGAUGGCCUGGCUCAUGUUGAGUCAUGGCACUGUUCAUGCCUCUUGCCAUCCCAGUAAGCCUGGGAGAGGGAGCAUCUCCUGGUUAGAGGCAGGACCUCACCAACAGGUAUUCCCAUGGGCAGGGUGAGUUACAGGAGCCCUGUCACAAGGAGGUGCCAGGGCCUGGCUCUCCUGUUGGUGUGGGGGGUCUGGUGUUCCCAGCCUGGAGUGGAGGGAGUGGGCAGGACAUGGACACUGGCCAUGUCCAUGGGUGUGCUGUGCCCUUGUCCCCAGGCAGCUCUGUCUGUCCCUCCUGGGUGAGCCACAUGCUUCCCUCUUGGCCAGACCCAGUUUGCCAGCGGGAUCCUGCCGUUGGAGGAGGAGACACACUAAGCUGGAGAUCUUCCCAGAAAGCAGGGCACAAGCCCUACAGGGUUUGUAGCUCGAGCUGGAGCUGUCAAUCCUUGUGGUUCCUAUCUCUGGGUGUUGCAGAUUGUGCUUCUCCGACCUCAGGUGCCCUCCUGGCUCUGCCUGUUUGGUGAAGAGUGAAGGCUGGGAGGAAGGCUGGUGCCCUGCUGGUGGCUCAGGUGCUGCUCUGCUCACAGGGAUGUUUCUGUCUCUCCUCUGGCUCUGGGGGCCCCCAGGUCCUUACUGAGCACGGCCUGGGAGCUGAGUUACAGUGGCAGUGCUGGGUGACCUUGGUGUUUGCAGUUCUGCCGCCUUUAUUUUGGCAAAAGACAGGUCCUGGCAGCCUUGCUGGCCGUGGGGCACCUUGUGCCUGCAGCAGGAAUGGGAAGGUUGGCAUGCAAAGCCAGGACAAUGGGAUGGUCAAGCGUGAUUACCAGCAGCAUCUCCCUUCCUGUUUUCCAGGAGUCUUUCCAGCUGCUCCCUCAAGUUGGUGCCAGCCUGGCCACGUCCCAGACAUUCCCUGCUGCCCAGGCUCUUGCUGUGGGUUGGGACUGAGUGUCCUGAAGAUGUCUGCUCCAGGAAAGCCCCCAGGGCUGAGCCCCCCGAGCGGGGAGCGCAGCCUCGGCUGUGCCGCUCCUCUGUCGUGGCCUCUGUCCCUGUGCUGGGCAGAGCAGGGAGGGAGGAGCCCCAGGCCUGUUCCUGGCACAUCCCUUGGCACGCAGGAUAACCCUCCCAGGGGCUGGAGCGACGAGCUGCCCCUGCCAAGGCUCUGCCUCCUUGUCCUUGUCUCUCCCAAACUUGCCGUGAAGCAGGACACUCCUCCAUCCAGCCCUGUGCCCUGGCCACGGUGGGUGAGCACAGGGACCGUGACCCCUGGGGGCUGCACAGGCAUGACCCAGCUCCUGCCAGGGAUCAGGCCGGGUCAGGUGUCCAGGUGCAGCAGAUGGGUUGAUGCAAUGUGCCUGUUCCUGUUGGGCAGGGAAUGUUGCUCACCUGCCCGGGGAGGUACACGUGCUCCACGGCUUGGCACCGCCUGCCAAGCCUUAAUCUCCCUUGUUUGACAGCUGGAGUGCUGCUGACGUCAAUGCCAUGGCUCAGGGGGCUUUUGGGGAAGAAUGGGCAAGUCUCCGCACACGUGGGCUUAGCAGGAAAACAUCACUCUGAAACCACAGUGGGAGAGCAGGCAGAGGGAGAAGGAGGAGCUGGAGACAGGACAAGGGGUGCAGUGCCAAGGGACGCCGCUCCUCUGCUGACUCACAGCCCGCUCUGCCUGGCUGGGCAUCAUCACUGAUGCAGGAAAAUGCCACCCUGCGUGUCCAGCUUGCUGGGAAUCGCUGCUGGAUUCCCUUCCCUGCCCAUGCUGAGAGUCUGUGUGUGCCCUGGAAGCACCAGGCCUGCCCUUCUGAGCCCAUGGGGCCAGCUGGGACCACUGCCAUGGGAACCUGGACGUUGUCUGUGCUGCUGGGUGACAGCUGCUCUCCUCUCAUCCUUGUCUCAAGGCCUAGGGAAGAGGUGUGGAUCUGCCCCUCCCUUCACUCUAUUGUCAUUAAAGAAGCUGCUUGUCCCUGUCUGGAUUGGGCCAGCUUUGGACAUUGCUGUCCUGCCUCAAGGGAACAUUUCAGGAUGCUGCUUGGAAGCCAUGCCCAUGUCACUUUUGGCUUUGGUCAACUCAGCUCUGCUGCCCUCCCCAUGAAGGAAAUAGGUCCUGUGAAUAGGCUAUGGGAACAACACCCUGUGUCUCCUAUGGACUGAUCCUGCCUCCAGGAAUCCACAGGUACCCAGGAUGAUCCAAGUGGUACUCAGGGGUCUGGGGAAUGCUGGGCAUCCGUUGUUUCUCCUUGCAGGGGUGGUCCAGGUCCAGCUCCCUUGUAUCUUGCAAAGCCUCACUUAUCCUUGGAGCCUGGAUAAAGCUCUGGAGAGUCUUGGCAUGGAUAUCAUUGCUGCUUCCACUUGUGACCUUAGCAACACAUCCUGAUGGGAAUUGUUCUCCAAGCUGGAAAUCCUGUCUGCUCUGCUGCAGGACUCCUGCUCCCCAAGCAGCUCGAGGUCUUUGGCCAAGGCAGUCAACCCUUCCUGCAGGGAAAUCACUCUUGUCCUGUGGCACAGGGCAGCCACCCCUGGCACACUUUCCCUGGGCUGGGCUGCUCUGCUUUAACAUCCUUAAAAAUAUUCCAUAUUUAAAAAAAAAAAAAAAAAAAAAGGCAGCAACCCAGGGAGUGAGGAGACAAAAGAAAAGGAAGUCAGGAGUUAUCACAAGUAGCUCCCAAGGGAUUUUUUUUCCUGGCUUAGAAAGCAACUUGGUGGCAACUGUGCUGAAGCUCAACCUGGGUCAUACCUGGGAAGUGGAAAAGCCUGAAAACCAUUGCAGGUCCUGAGCUGAAAGCCAGGAGGGUCAAAGAACCCUGUAAAUAAACCACUUCUCAAAUGUAAGUUGUUUUCUUUUGCCCCCCACCCCUGUCAGCACAAAAGAACCUGAGUAACCCUGGAGUAAAUUACUCGACAUCUUGCCUCAGGUUGCUUUGGGUAAUGUUUGCACCACUGGCAUGUGCCUGUGCUGCUUCCCAAGUUCAUAUUUUUGAGGCCUUGGAAACUGAAAGUUGGAUGAUAUCCACCAGGCAAGGGUUUUACCAAAGUGUCUCAGUUUUCAGGUCUCUGGGGAAACAUCAACCAUGGCUUGGUCUAGAGGAGGGGAAGCAGCACAAGUUGUGCCAUGCUCCGGGAAGAGCGGGGCUGGUGCUGAGAACUCAGCCCAGCCUUUCUGCUCAUGGCUUCCUCCAUUCCGGACAGCUCCGGAGCACACGCGGGCAGUGUCCCCUCCUGUGCCAGCACUGCCAGCACUGAUCCCUCCCUGCCACACUUGUCUGUGUCAUGGUAAGGCUCCAGAUGUGGAACACAGAAUCCCAGACUGGUUUAGGUUGGACAGAACCUUAAAUUUCAUCUCAUUUCACCCCCUGCCGUGGGCAUGGACACCUUCCACCAUCCCUGGUUGCUCCAGGCUCUGUCCAACCUGGCCUUGGUCAUUCCAAGGAUGGGGCAGCCACAGCUGCUCUGGGCAGCCUGGAAUAUGUUCAUGGAGAGAUCCCCUUGAAUGAAUUGCAAAGGGCUCUGGGAAAAUUGAACUCCCAAGAAACGGAGGGAAGAGAUGAGGAAGCAUCCCAAGGAGGGAGAAGUCAGGAGGAUUUUCCCAUCCUUUGCUGCCUGGACCACUGAGUGUUGCAGGUCCUUGGUGCUGAGAGUCACAGGGAAAGAGAGGAAGAGCUGUGGGAUAGUAGAGGAGAAAAGUAAUGUACAAAACCAGCAGACUCUUAGAACCCAGGCCUCUCUGUCUUUCUAGUAACUCCAACUUAUCUCAGUGCUCAUCCAUUUCUGCAAACCAGGGGCUGACGUUUCCCUGACCCUUCCCUUCUGAGAAAUGGCCCUUCCUGUUCACUGAGUUCAUCAGACAGAACAUCCUGAUCUGUGGCUGGUUGUGUGGUUUGGGGGGUUUCGGCUUGCAGAGAAUGUUCUGGUAGGAAUAUCUUACUCUCUAAAACCUCUUCAAUGCUAAAUCCAGCAGCUUUCAGAGAAAAAUCAGAAGAUACGGUGAAGCUUUCCCCCCCCUCACUCUACCCACCUCACUGCAGAUUUCCUAAAUCCAUGAAACUGGGUGGAGGAGGCUGUUCCUUACUCUCAAAAAUGCAAAGCUCAGGCUGGUUGUGCCAGACUCUUGGCCAAGCUGGUUUCUGUGAGCAUGAAAGGCCUCAAUGAGAAGCUCUCCCCACCACAUCAGCUGAUAGGAAAACCUGCUUCUGGAAAAGGACUUUCUUCCUGCCUUUUAAAAGCCAACUGCAGGGUGUUGCUGGUGGAGCAGGAAUAUUUUCCAAGGGCUAAAUAAUUAUGUUUAAUUAGUUUUCAUUAAGGUGAUGCUGCCAAUCCACCCUUCUCUUUAGAAACUCAGCUUCUGAAAGGGCUUGGAAACAAUGAAGCAGGGAAAAUAUUGUACCUGUGCCUCACUCAUUUCCAUCUGUCAUGGAAAAGGACCAGCACACUCCCAAACUCCUUGGGAAAAGGGACCGACAGAUUGCACAUUAGAUGUCCAUCCCUCCCUGGUCAUGGGAAGCCAUGGAAUGUCCUGCUGAGGGACACAGGGGUUUCCCCUCUGGCACCUGUGUCUGCACAGCCAAGCUGGCCCAAAGCCAGCUGGGGCAGUGGAUCCUUGGUCCUCACUUGGCAUACGUCUGAGUCACUGGCUUCCAUUCCACAGAACCAUCAUUCCAUCUGGAGCAUUAAACCCUGGAAUCACAGAAUGGUUUGGGUGGGAAGGGACCUGUCCUUUCCCUUCCAUUGUGGAUGUGGAACACAGAAUCCUAGACUGGUUUAGGUUGGACAGAACAUUAAAGCUCCUCUCAUUCCACCCCCUGCCAUGGGCAGGGACACCUUCCACUAUCCCAGGCUGCUCCAAGCCCUGUCCAGCCUGGCCUUGGACACUUCCAGGGAUCCCGGGGCAGCCACAGCUACUUUAGAAACCCACUCCUCUGCUUGAAUUUAUGGUGUUUGACCAAAAAAUGGUUUCCUCAAGUUCUGCCUCUUCUUGGGCUCAUUUCUGCUGUUUUCCAUUGAGCUCGAGUGCAACACAUUCCCAUUCAAUUAAGGAAUUGAAUCUGGGAGCAAAACCUGUUUGGAUCUGCUUUUACCUGAGUGCACACUUGCUUUGGGCUUUUCUCUGCUGAAAUCAUUGAUUUUCUUCCUGAAUCCUUCCCAAGGAGAACCCUUCCUACAAGAGUUUCUUGUACACAUGAAAAGGUGGGAGAAAACAGAACCCACCACCCCGAUGUCUCCACUCCUCCAGCUGUGUUACCCACCCAGCUGCCUCUUUGGUCCUGGUCCAAGUCCCAGCAGUGGCAGGGGACAUUCCCAGUCCAGAGGAAGCCAUACCAGUCAGCAUUCCAGUCAGCCUUUUCAAAAUAAUUGCCAAGGAAGAGCACACACCCUCUGUUUGAAUCCGAGUGUCCUGUUUACCUUUCCUCUUGGACGCUGCAGGAGAAUGUCCCGGUAUCACCUGGCCCAAGAAAAAGGGAAUUAUCCAUGAAGCCUUGAAAAAAUCCCCUGUCCUGGCACUUUUCUGAGUUGAAGAGGUGCCAGCAGCCCAGGUGAGAAUUCCUGGGGUGGGGAUUGCAAAAGAGGCUAAAAAACAUUUGAGACUUGGCAGUGUGUGGUGGGGACGGCUCUGCCCUAAGGAGCUGCAGGUCUGCUUUCCCUCUUUGCACCCCACACCUGCUGGGUUUGCUCUGUGCCACAAGAUUCUGCUUCUGUGAAUUGUGCUGCUGUGUCCAGUGAGUAGAAAGGGACUCUGUGCUGCAGAGGGAAAUGUUGGCCUGGGAACCCACCAGAGACGCCUUGUGCUCCUGGGCAGCAUGGCAGGAGCAGGAGAGGAGGCUGGAUUGUUGUGCAAAGAAUGAUAAAUUGCUUCUCAAGGGACCUCACCAUAUAAACACACUGAGUGUGUUAAAUCAAACCCCAUAUCACACUCCAUGAGGCCUUGUGUCCUCACCAUUCCUGUGUGAUUCCCAGCAAUGCUUCCAACACCAAGCUGGCAGUGAAAGCACAGCAUUCUGCACACUCCAUGUGAUGGGGCUUGGAGCAACCUGGUCUGGUGGAAGACAUUCCUCCUGCCCAUGGCAGGGCUUUGGAAUGAGAUGGUCUUUAAGGUCCCUUCCAACCCAAACCAUCCUGGGAUUCUAUCCAGUGGUUGAUCUGCCUGCAGCAGCCCCAGGGAACUGCAGCAGUCCCAAACUCCCUGUAUGGAGCAUCUCUGGACUGUGCCAAAGGUAGCUGGGACACCCCACGCUCCAGUGAGACCCCAGCCCAGUACUAUGUCCCCAACAAGGUUGUCCCUUCCCCAUGAGAGAGCCCUGCCAUGCCCUGGCGUGCCCUGGGAUGUGUCCACGGGCUCUGGGAGGAGAACCACCCCCGUGGGUGCUGCUGGGAGAUGUGCAGCCCCACUUUGGCACUGGUGCCCUCCUCACCACGAGGGGCACAACCUUCUGCUCUCCUUCUGCCUGGGAAUUUGGGCGCUGAAGGUGAUGUUCCCGAGGCUGGUCCCUCCAGGGGGGAUGUUGGCUGUCACUCAGCGCUCUGUGAGUGGCUCUGCCUCUUAUCUCUGGUGCUGCAGAACAAGGAGUCCCGGGCUGGUGUCCAGCUGGGGAUGCCAGCAGCUCUGGACAGGCUGUUCACAGAGCCAUCCCUCCCGGUUCGGUGCUGCCACGCUCUUGUGAAAUGUCCUGGCUGCAUCAAGGAUCAGGGCUGGCUCUGAGGCUGCAGGAGGCAGGGAAAGGCUGGUUGUCUGGGGAACAAAGACAGCACCAAAUCCUGCUCUUUCAACCCCUCUGUGCCCAUGACCUGGGGGGAGGAUGCCCCGUGUCCUACAUCCAUAGUUAUUUUCCCAAGGAUGCGUCUCUAGACCACGGCAGGGCACUGCUCCAUGAAAACCCAGAAACUUUGUCCAUCUGGAUGGCACCAAGUGACUCAAGGGCCAGAGAGCUGCUGCCUGCACCCACCUCUCUGAUGGGUUCUGUCCACACCAGGCUGUGAUCUUUCCCCUCUAGGUUCCCCUUAGCCCCAGGUUUGCAUCACAUCCUUGACAUCUCUUCUGGGAGUUUUCCUGGCUGACAGGACAAGUUGAUGUUCCUGUCCUUGGGUCUUCCCCAGCAUUUUGGAGGGGCAGCAGCUGCUGUCCAUGCCAGCACCAGCAACCUCUGCAGGAGUUAAUUUUCCUUAAUUUGGGUGAGUGAGGAACCUGCUUCCUGAUACAUGGAUGGACCAGGCAAGAUCUGCACUGCUGUUUGUGGCAGCAGAGGGGAACUGGCUGAGUCUUAAUUCCUCGUGGCAUCUUCCCAUCCCUCUGCUGCUGCUCUGCUUGUGCCCAGGCUGGGUUUGAGCAGACAUCGUUCACCUGAGAGCAAACCUCCUGGUGGGACUGGAAAAGGAGAUGAGUCUCCAGGUGCCCACGGCCUUCUGCUGACAUCAAGAGCCCACAGAGAGGACAGCUUGGAUCCCUGGAAGACCCCAAACACCAGGGCCUCUGGGGGUGGGAGGAGGUACAGCCUGAGUCAUGCGAGAGAAGAACUGCUGCUGUGCUCCACCUAUCUCAGUUAUGUUCCAUCCCCUGCCCCGCUCGCUCUAGCAGGGGAGCAGGCAGCAAACGAUGAGUCAGGCAUUGUCCAGAGAGCCUCCAGGGGACAGACAUCAUGCUAUCAUCUUUCCUUGGCUAUCUCCUCAACAACUGCAUCCUACAGCUGGCCUGGCAGCCCCUCCUCCUGUUUUGUUUGCUUCCUCCUGGCUGCAGACUGCUGUCGCUGCCAGGGAAAGUGCCGACGGUGCCUCUCAGUCUAUUCCACCUAAAUUUAAACCACUAUUUUUAUCUUUCCAGGCUCAUUGUGGUUUAAAUUUGGUAUUAAAAAGUCACGUGAGGAAAGCUGUUGUCUGAUGUUUGGUGCCUUGGUGAUGAGGACCUCAUCAGCCUUGCCAUUGAGUGUCCUGAGCAUGAGGGAUGGGGUUGUGUUUCCUACAGACAUUCCCCAAAGGAGCAGGGAGGAGGCAGGAGCAGGAUGGGAUGUCCCAUUUCUCUUCCCAGCUGAGUGUUUCCAGUCAAGAGGCUCCUUCAGCAGCAUGUCAACACAGAGAUAACAGAGGUGGGCACAUUUCAGGAAGCGGUUCCCAGAAGUGGGUUGACAUUUCUCACUGGUGUGACCUGGUGACUGCAGGAGAAGGAAAAGCAAAGCCAGAGGUCAAAUACAGGAGGAAAUGAUCCCUUGCUGAAAUUAUUGAACUUGUGUGGAUGAAAAGACAUUGAACAUGUCUUUGGGUGUGAGUCAGAGCUUUUCCCUUCAUGGUGCCGAGGGGAGCACUGGGCUGUGGGGUUCCUGCUGUCCCUGGGGUGCCAGGGAUGCUGGAAUCUGGGCUGAGUGGGGUGAGGACUUUGGUGUCUCCUCACCAAAAGAAGGGCAGUGCUUGGGAUGGGAUGGUCGAGCAGCCCCACUGAAAUCACCCCACAGGCUGUCUGUGAAGGGCUCAGCUGGCCCCAAAAAGAGUGGUGGUGUCCAUGAGGCUUCCCAUUGUUCUGGAUAGACGGUGCCCACCCCUGCCAGGUGAAGCCAAUUCUCCUUGACUCCAGAAGGGAGGGAGCUGAAGGAUGACUGUGCAAUUCCAAAUGCUGACCAAACUCCCCCAGUGGCCUCUACCACCCUACCCCAGUGACAGUGCUGCGUGGUCCUCCCUUCAGGUGAGUAGCUCAGGGGAGUUUCUUCUCUAAAGAACAGCAGCUCCUGUCACUCUCCUUUUGCUCAGGGUGUGGGGAAAUUUUAAAAUGCCACUUCCAAGGGAAAACAGGCAGCUUGCUCCAUGAGCUGGCAGCUUGUGAAAUGAUUGAUUCUGGGAGAGCUUCAGGGGGCCAUCACUGACCACAUCCUUUUUACACUGGGGUGUAUCUCCCCUUACAGCUCUGGGCUGGCUUGUCAAAGAGAGCUGGAGUGGGGUCUCUGUGCAGCCAGCCACUAUGGAUCCAGCUGGUGGGAUCUCAGCUGCGCCUCUUGCUCUGGAAUUCAAACCUUGUGACAAAUCCUUCGUCUGACUGUCAGCUGUCAGAUACAGAGGAGGAACACAAUGUUCCUGACUCAAAACCAGUCAUUUCUAAGCUUCUCCAAACAGAAAGUUUCCAGCAUGUUUUGUCCAACGGGCACUGCAGUUUUCCAUCCUGCCCUGGAUGGAAAUGCCCGCCUUCUCCUCUGGGAAUGACGCCCAGGAUGGAGCCAGAGCUGCCAGCACCAAGAGGGAAGCCUACAAGCAUCCAAAGUUUGUGGUUUUACUGUCCUCAGAAUGGCUUCAGGAGGGAUCAGAUCAGAGCUGUGAUCUUUGCACAGUGCUUGGACCAGCUCCUGCCAUGUAAUGGGGUAAGAGCCAUUAAAGCUUUUGGAUAUUUUUCUUUUUUCAGUUUAAUUUCCAUUCAGUGGUGGCUGCCAGAGCACUCUGAGGUCUUUUAAAGGAGGCAAAACAGCUAAAGAGAAUAAUUUCCAAGUUUAAGGGCCACAGAAGCUGUGGCUGCCCCAUCCCUGCAAGGCCAGGUUGAGCAGAUCUUGGAGCAACCUGGGAUAGUGGGAGGUGUCCCUGCCCAUGGCAGGGGUGGCAUUGGGUGGGCUUUAAAGCCCCUCCCCAGCCAGACCAUGCUGUGAUUCCAUGAUCCACCCAACAAGGAUCAGCUCUUGGAGGAAGUGAAGGUUUCCAGUGGGAUGUGACCAGAGUGGGCACUUGGGUGCCCCGUGUCCUGAGCCACAGAGACCAUCCCACCCUCCUGGCCCUUCCUGGGCUGUCUGUGGGGACUCUGUGCUCACGUCAGUCCCUCGUGUGCCAGAGAGCAGAGACUCCUCACCCACAGUGAAUUAGAGGGUGUCACACGGUGACACAUCUCACACAGAGAGGUGUCACACGGUGACACAUCUCACACAGAGAGGUGUCACCUGCCAGGCCUUCCCGAGGGAAGAAGGAGGCUGACACCUGAGCUCUCUGUCCUUUCCUGGCAUGGCCAGUGCAGCUGGAUCACACGGGCUGGGAGCAGGUGAUGCUGAGGUGUCACCACCUCCUUGCCUGGGCUGGGAUGAGCCCCUUGCUGAGGGGUGUCCCCCUGGAUAGGAUCCUCCUCGAGCUGCUCAGGGCCUGAUGCAGUCCCACGUCUCACAGCCCUGCAGACCUGCAGGGAUUUAGGGCACUCCUACAAGCAGCAGCAGGAUUUGGUGCUGCUGGAUGCACCAGCUUUGCCCUGCAACCCGUUUUGAGGCAGGGAAGAGCCUGGAAAAGUCUGUCUCUCCAGGGUGUGAGUCCAUGGAGGUGUGGAGGUUAGGGAAUUUUACAUAAAUAUUUGACUCUACCUUUUCAGGCAGCAGAAUCCUCGCUUAGGGGCACUCAUCCUGAAAUAUUUACCAACUGUGCAGUUUAUUGGCAGUGGGCAGAAGCAAUUUAGAUUGUCUCAUCGUGAUCACUUGAAGCAAUCUCAAGGAAGUGUAAUCCUGCUUUGAAUGGCCGUGUCAGAUCCUUGUCUGCCUGCUUUAAUUGCUUUUCCUACAGGAUACUGAUGCUUCAGAUUGCAAAUCCUCCCAGGCAAAGGCUGUCUCUUUGUUCUGGUGUGCAGAACACAUCCUGCAGGGAAGGCCGGGGCUCUGGCUUGGCUACAGACAUCUGGCUGCUUGAAACGCUGUGCUCAGAGAGUGCCAGGAGGGUGUGAGGGCUGGGGGGUCCUGUGGGGGCCGGGUGACCCCUGGAAUUCUCAGCACGCACACGGCAGCGAGGGAUGCGCGUCACCAUCCGUCCUUCCCUCGUGGAUGGCACAACACAGGUGGGCAGGGAGUGGCAUAAAUUAUCUGAAUUCCAGUCUCCCUCCUUCAGCCAGCCAGAAGAGUUUCUCCUCUGGAAUGUCCUGAGCUAAAGGCCCCACAGGUGACACCUUGGGGAUGGCAUCUCCAAAAGAUUUUGGGGAGAAAGGAGAGGUGGGAAAGGUGUCAUGGAGAAUGGAGAGUUGGCUCUCCCACCAAAGUAAUCCACCCCUCAGGCCAUCUCCAGUUUAACUGAAGAGCUUCUGGUAUUAUUCAUAUUAAUAUGCACAUUAAUAUUCAUCAUUAUAUUCAUAUUUAUAUUAAUGUUAUAAGCAUUUAACUGAAGAGCCUCAUGGGAUUGUCUUUACUGAUGGUGAAACUCAAGUGGCCUCAGAAUAAACAGGAGUUACUUGAAACAGAAAA
Molecule: long non-coding RNA, 11445 nt
Organism: Haemorhous mexicanus (house finch)
Lineage: Eukaryota; Metazoa; Chordata; Aves; Passeriformes; Fringillidae
Exons: 5
Source: RefSeq, a predicted model, not a curated record